RNAcentral lists this ribosomal RNA (253 nucleotides) under uncultured bacterium. RNAcentral describes it as "partial 16S ribosomal RNA". It matches the Rfam family "Bacterial small subunit ribosomal RNA", at positions 524 to 776 of the family's 1533-position model. The record is from RNAcentral.
UACGUAGGGUGCGAGCGUUAAUCGGAAUUACUGGGCGUAAAGCGUGCGCAGGCGGUUCGUUGUGUCGGUGGUGAAAUCCCCGGGCUUAACCUGGGAAUGGCCAUGGAAACUGGCGAACUGGAGUGCGGCAGAGGGGGGUGGAAUUCCGCGUGUAGCAGUGAAAUGCGUAGAGAUGUGGAGGAACACCGAUGGCGAAGGCAGCCCCCUGGGCUAACACUGACGCUCAUGCACGAAAGCGUGGGGAGCAAACAGG